Molecule: long non-coding RNA, 2929 nt
Filed under: Homo sapiens (human)
Lineage: Eukaryota; Metazoa; Chordata; Mammalia; Primates; Hominidae
Description: non-protein coding lnc-AKTIP-1:5
Source: RNAcentral
CUCUUAAACAAAAAGCUUCACAUCUGACAGGCUGUGCCGACAGCACAUUCUCUGGUGACUUUGGUUUCCCAGGGAUCCUUGUGAUAUAUUUAUUCAUUCCCAUGUCAGGACUCUUCUUUUCAGCUGGCAGUUUUAGCUGGAGCCCCUCUUAAACUGCCAAACCCUCAUUGACAUUCAGAUGUGGUAAAAGGAGGGAAACUGAAUAGUGUGAGAAUGGUGGGUUCCUGAAGCACUAUGACAUUUGAUUUAAGGAACAGUGUCUGGAGGAGUAUUGGGAAUGGACGAAUUGGUGAUUUUGCUCUUUGGCAACAUUGGUAGUGCUUAGGAAGGCAGUGGAGUAUAGCUAUUAAGAGCUUGGACUCAUGGCCAGGCAUGGUGGCUUAUGCCAGUAAUCCUAGCACUUUGGGAAGCCGAGGUGGGUGGAUCACGAGGUCAGGAGUUCAAGACCAGCCUGACCAAUAUGGCCAAACCCCAUCUCUACUAAAAAUACAAAAAUUGGUCAGGUGCAGUGGCUCACACUUGUAAUCCCAGCACUUUGGGAGGCCGAGGCGGGGAGAUCACCCGAAGUUGGGAGUUCGAGACCAGCCUGACCAACAUGGAGAAACCCCGUCUCUAUUAAAAAUACAAAAUACAAAAUUAGCUGGGUGUGGGUGGUGCAUGCCUGUAAUCCCAGCUACUCAGGAAGGCUGAGGCAGGAGAAUCACUUGAACCAGGGAGGCAGAAGUUGCAGUGAGCCAAGAUCUUGGCAUUGCACUCCAGGUACCUGUAGUCCCAGCGAGGCUGAAGCAGGAGAAUGGCCUGAAUCUAGGAGGCGGAGGUUGCAGUGAGCCGAGAUCACACCACUGCACUCCAGCCUGGGUGACAGAACUAGACUCAGUCUCAAAAAAAAGAGCUUGGAGUCAGCAGAUGGACUACGUGGCUUUUGUACUUUUUAGCUCUGGUAACCCAGAGCAAUUAAUUUACUCUGCUUUGCUGUCUUAAUCUUUAAAUAACAGUACUUCAAGGGGUGGUGUGAGGCUUAAAUGAGAUCAUUCAUGUAUGAGGGAUAGUUAUGUGAGAAAAUUAAUUAGAUAAUGUCUAAAACAUACAUGUCGACAACAAUAAAAAAUACUGUGCUUUAUUAAGUUAGGGGAAUUGGCUUAAAACUGCAAAAUGAAUGUUAUAGAAAUUUAGUGAGCCAACAAAUAGUUUUUAAAUACUUUUCUCUUCCUUAAGCUUUUCUCCAUGGAAUCCUUCUGUACAUGAUGAAGCCAGAGAAAAGAUGCUGACUCAGAAAGUAAGUGGAUAACAACUUAUGAAAUGGCUAACUCAUUGUUUCUUUUCUAAAAUGUCUUCAUUUGGAGACUGCUCAUUACAUACAAGUAACUUUUUUUGGGAAACAAGUUUGUACAGUGCUGAAAUCUCCUCACCAGUAAUUUUUUAAAUAUCUGUUUUGAUUGUGCCUAGAAGAAGCCUGAAGAACAGCACAAUAAAAGUGUUCAUGUUGCUGGCCUGUCAUGGGUAAAGCCUGGCUCAGUACAGCCUUUCAGUAAAGAAGAGAAAACAGUGGCGACUUAAGAGAUGGUGAAUCUGGUGCACCAUGCACUUUCCUGCUAGACUCUGGCCUAGUUCAAGCUGACCAAUGGCAGAGGACUGCCUGAAGAGUAAAACUGUGUGAACAAUGACUGACUGCCAGUGUUUUCCAUGUAUGCAUAGGUUCUAACAGCAGGGUUUGGAAACCUGUCUCUAAGUAAUGCAUUACUUCUGUCAGAAGUGUCUUAGGGUGGUUAUCUAGUUCAGUACUCCAAAUUAUUGGGGACCUUGAGGCUUAAGUAAGUAUUUUUCUGAAUAUAAUGCUAAAGGUAAGUUGCAUUCAUUUAAACUAAUAGAGCAGACAGAAUUCAGCACUACUUAAUAGUUUAUAAAUCAGUGGUUUCAGUUGUAUAUAUGUUAGGAAAUGGAGAGGUAUAGAGAGAGCAGGUUCCAUAGCUCAGCACUUUUAAGUGGAAGAUCAUUUGAAUCUCAGUCUUCAGCCUGCACUGAUUUGUAGCCUGCACUGUCUUACUGAUUUACAAACUGAAAUCACUGAGAAAUGUCUUUAGUUCAGUGAGAAGAAACCAGAACACUUGUUCCUAGUGUUGUGUUGUUUUUUUUAAGCAAAUUACUUACUGUAUUUUUAUGGCAGGAGGGAGAAAAAGUGUUACAACGGUUUCUAAUGAAGUCCGGUAUUUAAAUGAUAAAUGACUAAUGUGUUUAGUAGAGACAAAAUAAACCAAUAAAUGAUUGUUCUUUGCCAUUUAUGCAGGAAACUACCCUUUUCUCAAUAUAACCAAACAAAGGCUAAUUUAUAAAUGCUUUAUUGAAAAAUACACUUAUCUUCAUAUAAAAUUACAGUAGCAGUAUCUUGAGAAGUUUUAUAAAUAUUUUUGCAGAACACUAUUCUAAUUGAACAAUGUAAGUUCCAUAUUUCUCUCAGCAAUAUGAAGUUACCUAGUAACUUUGUUUAUACUGAUUCAAUUUACAAUUGAAUUUUCUCCCUAAUAAGAUUAUUAAUUUGACUUGAAAACUGCUGGAACAAUAGUGAUUAAUAAAGAUAUGUAUAGAUAAUUCAGCUGUUAAAUAACAUUUUCUAAUUUGUAUAAAUGGUACUAUGGUACUAAUAAAAACCUAAAUUCUCCAACCAAUUUUUUUAAACUGCCAGGAACACCCAAAAAUAUUUUUAAAUAUAUCACCUUAAUAGACAUUUCUUUUAGAUAACUCCCUCCUAAAGGAAGAGGUCAUAAGUUUUCAUAUUAAUCCCCUCAAUUCAACUUGAUUAAAAUCUUUUCUUAGCUGGUUGAUCCCUAUAUAACAAAAAACUGGAGAAUUUAAAACAUUCCCAAAAGGUGGCUAUAGGGGUUUUAACAUUUUAAAAAAAUAUAAAAGCAUUAAAGAAAAUAUUGGAUGUUUA